RNAcentral lists this ribosomal RNA (710 nucleotides) under Salmonella enterica. RNAcentral describes it as "partial 23S ribosomal RNA". It matches the Rfam family "Bacterial large subunit ribosomal RNA", at positions 614 to 1323 of the family's 2925-position model. The record is from RNAcentral. Lineage: Bacteria; Pseudomonadati; Pseudomonadota; Gammaproteobacteria; Enterobacterales; Enterobacteriaceae.
AAUGGGUCAGCGACUUAUAUUCUGUAGCAAGGUUAACCGUAUAGGGGAGCCGGAGGGAAACCGAGUCUUAAUUGGGCGUUAAGUUGCAGGGUAUAGACCCGAAACCCGGUGAUCUAGCCAUGGGCAGGUUGAAGGUUGGGUAACACUAACUGGAGGACCGAACCGACUAAUGUUGAAAAAUUAGCGGAUGACCUGUGGCUGGGGGUGAAAGGCCAAUCAAACCGGGAGAUAGCUGGUUCUCCCCGAAAGCUAUUUAGGUAGCGCCUCGUGAAUUCAUCUCCGGGGGUAGAGCACUGUUUCGGCUAGGGGGCCAUCCCGGCUUACCAACCCGAUGCAAACUGCGAAUACCGGAGAAUGUUAUCACGGGAGACACACGGCGGGUGCUAACGUCCGUCGUGAAGAGGGAAACAACCCAGACCGCCAGCUAAGGUCCCAAAGUCAUGGUUAAGUGGGAAACGAUGUGGGAAGGCCCAGACAGCCAGGAUGUUGGCUUAGAAGCAGCCAUCAUUUAAAGAAAGCGUAAUAGCUCACUGGUCGAGUCGGCCUGCGCGGAAGAUGUAACGGGGCUAAACCAUGCACCGAAGCUGCGGCAGCGACACUCAGGUGUUGUUGGGUAGGGGAGCGUUCUGUAAGCCUGCGAAGGUGGCCUGUGAGGGUUGCUGGAGGUAUCAGAAGUGCGAAUGCUGACAUAAGUAACGAUAAAGCGGGUG